Molecule: ribosomal RNA, 278 nt
Filed under: uncultured Staphylococcus sp.
Lineage: Bacteria; Bacillati; Bacillota; Bacilli; Caryophanales; Staphylococcaceae
Description: partial 16S ribosomal RNA
Rfam family: Bacterial small subunit ribosomal RNA
Source: RNAcentral
GUGCCAGCAGCCGCGGUAAUACGUAGGUGGCAAGCGUUAUCCGGAAUUAUUGGGCGUAAAGCGCGCGUAGGCGGUUUUUUAAGUCUGAUGUGAAAGCCCACGGCUCAACCGUGGAGGGUCAUUGGAAACUGGAAAACUUGAGUGCAGAAGAGGAAAGUGGAAUUCCAUGUGUAGCGGUGAAAUGCGCAGAGAUAUGGAGGAACACCAGUGGCGAAGGCGACUUUCNUGGUCUGUAACUGACGCUGGUGUGCGAAAGCGUGGGGAUCAAACAGGAUUAG